GUAUUCUUGAUCACAUGGGAUUGGAUGAUCGCGGAGCAAACUGCUGCUAGAGGAUGGGCCUGCGGCGCAUUAGCUAGUUGGUGGGGUAACGGCCUACCAAGGCGACGAUGCGUAGCCGACCUGAGAGUGAACGGCCACACUGGGACUGAGACACGGCCCAGACUCCUACGGGAGGCAGCAGUAGGGAAUCUUCCGCAAUGGGCGAAAGCCUGACGCAACGCCGCGUGAGUGAUGAAGGUUUUCGGAUCGUAAAGCUCUGUUGCCAGGGAAGAACGUCCGGUAGAGUAACUGCUACCGGAGUGACGGUACCUGAGAAGAAAGCCCCGGCUAACUACGUGCCAGCAGCCCCCGGUAAUACGUAGGGGGGCAAGCGUUGUCCGGAAUUAUUGGCGUAAAGCGCGCGCAGGCGGCUGCUUUAAGUCUGGGUGUUUAAAACUUU
RNAcentral lists this ribosomal RNA (439 nucleotides) under Paenibacillus sp. SLGR22. RNAcentral's name for it is "bacterial SSU rRNA". It matches the Rfam family "Bacterial small subunit ribosomal RNA", at positions 171 to 605 of the family's 1533-position model. Lineage: Bacteria; Bacillati; Bacillota; Bacilli; Caryophanales; Paenibacillaceae. The record is from RNAcentral.